GGAACAUUGGAUAUCUAACUGGGAGUCAUGUGAGUGAAAACAUCCUAAGCUCAUCAAAGCUUCAGGACGAUGGACAGCGUGAUGUUCUGUGGUGGUCGCUGCAGCAGGGAAGAGAGAGAGACAACAGGUAACAUUGAGACAUUCUCUAUAUCCGGAGAGCAGCAGCAGGAAGAUCACAGACCUAAGAGGUCUCACCACUUCCCACAUUGUAAAGAGAUUUUCCCAAGUCUUUCAAAGCUAAAAAUACACACACGAGAGAAGCCUUACUCUUGCUCUGACUGUGGUAAAUACUUCCCAACAUCAUCUGCGCUAAAUGUUCAUCAGACCCUCCCUGAAUGCUUGAGGAAAAACAAGUGACUCUCCCCUCUUUCCAUAAUAAUAAUGAAAUAUAAAGUGGACAGCAGAGAACAUGCCUAUUGUUUACCCUCACUCCUAGAACAGACCAGAGCCUUAGAUACGCAGUUUUACAAACAGUUCUUCUUUUUGUAAGCGUCACAUGUCAAAGGUUGUGGAUUCCCAGAACACCGAAUAUAUUUUUUUAUUUCAGAACAGUGCAUGAUAAUGAAUGAGGCAUACUGCAGCACCCAAGACCUUUUGAUUUCUAUACAGGCUAUUGUUCAAAAAUAUUCUACAACGGGUUGGUCAAAACAAGCUUUGUGAUUGGUUGAGACGUGUUCUAAGCGAUUCAAAAAACAUUGUUUAGCACAGAUGAUGCAAAAAUGGGAAUCUUGUUUUCUGUUCUGUCUGACAGAUCCCUGCUCAUCCACUGGCCCAUCAGCCCAGCCAGCCAAUUAAUUAACUUGAUCUCCACUGUAAAAGGCAUCUAGACAUUAUUUCCCCUUGCUUCUAGCCUAACAUUUUUGUUUUGUUGUACAAACGUUGCUGUCUUUCUCUCAACAUUUGCAACAUCGUUUCAUUAUUGAAAUUCAAUAUGCACUAUCCUAUUGAGAAUUAACAUGUCAGGACAAGACUGACAUCUUGUCUCAGCCAGUUGAAAUUAUGAAUCCGCAAAAUCAUUAUGGAUAUAUACAAAGAAAUGUCCAUUUAAAACCAGGUCAAAGGAAAUUAAAAGUAGUUACUUUGCUGUUAUUCUAGCUGCAUGGUUUGAUGUGACUGUUAAUAGUAGUUGGCUAGCUAGCAGGCAAGGGAUAAGAGUGUUAUCAGUAUAAAUGUAUAGCUGGGGAGGUGACGCCCAUAAGGGAAGAGUAUAACAUGUGUUGUGAGCUUUCUAAAUGCAUGCACUCAGCUGACUGUAUCCUUGGUAUUAAACACUCUCUUAAACUUC
This is a long non-coding RNA of Oncorhynchus gorbuscha (pink salmon), 1285 nucleotides long. RefSeq lists it as uncharacterized. The transcript has 3 exons. Lineage: Eukaryota; Metazoa; Chordata; Actinopteri; Salmoniformes; Salmonidae. The record is from RefSeq and is a predicted model, not a curated record.